Molecule: ribosomal RNA, 432 nt
Filed under: uncultured bacterium
Lineage: Bacteria
Description: partial 16S ribosomal RNA
Rfam family: Bacterial small subunit ribosomal RNA
Source: RNAcentral
AACGAACGCUGGCGGCAUGCCUAACACAUGCAAGUCGAACGAGACCUUCGGGUCUAGUGGCGCACGGGUGCGUAACGCGUGGGAACCUGCCCUUAGGUUCGGAAUAACUCCCCGAAAGGGGUGCUAAUACCGGAUAAUGUCUUCGGACCAAAGAUUUAUCGCCUUUGGAUGGGCCCGCGUUGGAUUAGCUAGUUGGUAGGGUAAAAGCCUACCAAGGCGACGAUCCAUAGCUGGUCUGAGAGAAUGAUCAGCCACACUGGGACUGAGACACGGCCCAGACUCCUACGGGAGGCAGCAGUGGGGAAUAUUGGACAAUGGGCGAAAGCCUGAUCCAGCAAUGCCGCGUGAGUGAUGAAGGCCUUAGGGUUGUAAAGCUCUUUUACCCGGGAUGAUAAUGACAGUACCGGGAGAAUAAGCUCCGGCUAACUCCGU